AGCGAAUUUUGAUGCAAGACGAUGUCUGUUCACUAAAUGAUCUGUUUGAAUAAUGUAUUGGGAAUAGAGUCGUAAUUAAAAUGCUAAAUCAAAGACGAGACAGUAACUUAAAUCAAAUUAAUUCUGAAUAAUAACGGGGAAACAAUUACGAUAGAUUUGUGCCCAUCGAAAUGUUCUUAUAAAUUUAGCGAAUUGGGAGAUGAGAGAUGUUGAUUGAUGUUGUAAACUCUAAUUCAGGAUUCAACAGAUGUGAUAAAUUAGGUUUGGUUUAUCGAACCCGUACUACUGUUGCUGCAGACAGCCAACAAUUAUUUACAAUUCUUUGAAAGUCGUUGCGGAUCGGGUCGAGGUUGAGCGCUUGUUGAUGACAUCACUCGCAAGGCACUUUUGUCGCCACGGAAAUUAUGUCGUGACUAGGGGUAACGGAGAAAAUUGUUUGUGUCUUUUAGAAGGAAAACGCGUGCAUUAUUGUUUUGAGUCUCUUUUCAGAAGUUGAUAAAAAUGUCAAAAUACAUUUUUAAAAGUAGUUUGUAAGUCAUCAGGAAAGAUGCUAAAAACUAGCAGCUGAUUCGCUAGGUGGGCAUCAUUGAUUUGUGGCGUUGAUUUGGACUGUAUUAGGCUAUGAGAAAGGGAGACUGAAUGUCUGAAUUGUAAAACAUCAUGGUAAUGGAUUCUGAUAGUUAUUGAUUCCUGGUUUGAUUGUUUAUGUAACACCAGUGAAUUUGAGCACUGUUUCCAUUAUGUGGAACCAGGUUAGGGUAUUAAUGUUGAAAAGCAACCUCUAUAGUAAAAAACAAUUGCAUAUGUUUUGGGAAACUAGCUAGGUUGAAUUUGGUUAUUUGAGCUUUUCCUCUCUGAUACGUAGACAUCUGUAACAGGGGCAAGAUGUUUUUUCUUGAGGAACAUGCAGAUGAUGUUUUGUUUUAUCGAGACGUAAAUGUGAAUUACAGGUGAAGUCACUCAAUCCAGUCCCUGAGGCCUGUUGGAGGGACCAUACCAAGGAAUCCUGGUGACAGCUAGCUGAAAGAACUACCCGGAUUCAUAUCACACUGCGGGAGGGACACCUUGACACUGUCGAACAAUAACAGAGUUCGAGAGGAGAACUGGAAUUAACAGAAUUCUGGGGGCCAUCUCUCGAAUGAAGAAUACCUUACCUGUCCUUUCCUUACUGUUCUUGUUCAUAGAAGUGAAAAUGUGUCUGACUCUUGCUAAUGAUGUGUUUUCUGGAAGAGGGUGGGGCUUUAUAGGUGAGCUGUCCAUCCUAAGCUGUAUGGUUGGGAGACCUUAUUACUACACCAUGAACCCGAGAAGGCCAGAGGGUAAUAUUGACAUAGUUAAACAAGGAGAAAUUAGUAUUAACCAAGCAUAAGAGAUCACUUGAUCUGGAUAAACAGGAAGUGAGAGUAGGAUAGGGAGGGAUGUCUCAGUGGAGUUCUAUGUAGACCAAGUGGUGUCUCUGACUCCUUGGCAGUUCAGGACUAAGAGUAGCUAUUAUGGAAGAAAUCUAUGCUAGUCUCUGUGUAGUUCAUGGAAACAAGUUAUAGCUCACAUCAUGUGAGGAGGCUACAUAAAUCUACAUACCCAGCAUGGAAGGAGAUGGAGUGUAGUGAAAGUAAGGGUUUCAGUUGAUAACCUAGUGCAUUACAGGUAGAAAAAGUUAGAGCAGCUGAUUGCUCUAUAGUCAGUAGAAUACAAGCAGAGUCCCUGACAAAGCAGAUACUGACUGUGGAGUUGUCCAGAGCCAAGCGCCGGUGUGGAUAGUUCAGAAAUGGAAUUAUUCACCUAAGGGAACAGCCUGUAUGGUAAAGCUAUUCAUGGAAGCAGGAAAGCCAGAUAAUAAGUUGUAUGGAUUUGCACUAUUUAUAUCCACAUGUUCCUCUGAAAUCUGAGCUUCCUCCUUUCACAGAGGCAACGGGAGACUGUUUAUUGUUUGAUUCAGUAUAGUACUCCUGGGAAAUAUGUGGGGCAAAAUCAGUACCGCAAUAGGACAGAUAAUGUUACUUCUGAUGCGACCAAUGAGUGAUUUGAAAGGCUGGUUGAGAUCUGGGGAUUUCAGUAAGAUAAGGAGGCCCAGGGCUCACAUCUGUUGGUUGUGUGGGAGAAUGACAUGAUGGCCCGAGUAUUACUGGCUAAUUGAACAGAGGUAUGUGUACUGGUACAUUUGAGAAUGUCUUUCACACUCAUUCAACACCAUGACAUGAUGUUGACUAAACGAGAGAAAAGAAGUACUCCGACUGGUUCUUUUGAUGAUAGGGUUUGUAUUAAUAACAUUGUGGUUCCAAAGGUGGCAGAUGAGAUCAAAGCUAUAAAUUAGAUCCUGGCAGGAUUAGAGUCAAGUAUUUUUUGGUGGUCCACUCUCAAUGAGAAUGUGGAUUGGAUCAAUUAUAUCUGUUAAAAAUCCACAGCGCUUCACCAAUUAUAUCAGAGAGGUAAUGAAUGGUUUGGCAGAAUAGAAUAGUCUUGGAUGUUUGCCGGCUGAAAAGGGUAGGAGGAGUGUAUGGAGGUAAUUUGGACUCCGGGGAUAUACAGUUAGGAUGGAUCAGUGACCAAGGCCUUGUCUGGUUUACACACCCUAGUUCACAAGUUGGCAGUAAACUCAGGGGUGGAUACUUCUCUGACUAAUUGGGUUGACAGUGUGUUUGGAAGAUGGAAAAAUGUUAUGAUUACUGUGUUAUGGGCUACCUUCACCUGUGUGACUGUGUUAGUUUUGUACGGAUGUGGUUGAUUACGUGUAUGAAAGUUAUAAUUUCCAGGACUCUGGAGAAAUCAAUGACACUUCAGAUGGUGAUAUAUGGACCAAUCCUAAGGUCUGACCAGUGGAAUACAAAAUACAUGGCUUGGACGUAAUAGAAGAAUCCGGAUCUUUUCACUUGCGAGGAGACCAUAUUUGGUGUCUGCAUUGACACUCAAUAGCCUCAUCCUUUAAAUAUAUGGAAAUGAAAAUCAAUAGAAGAUUGAGGCUCUUCCACCUAAAACCAAGCCGGGGCACCGAUAUAGAUUCACACAUGUCUCAGCCUGAGUUACUUUAGCAAGAAGAAUAAUAAAGAUACGAAUAUUACUGAACCGGAGCACGUGAGAAAUCACACCACUGUUUCAUGAUCAGAUUCAAAUAAAAAAUAAAAAAAGUUAUCCAAUGUU
Oncorhynchus mykiss (rainbow trout) is the source of this 3138-nucleotide non-coding RNA. The record is from RefSeq and is a predicted model, not a curated record. NCBI's taxonomy places the organism in Eukaryota, Metazoa, Chordata, Actinopteri, Salmoniformes, Salmonidae.